RNAcentral lists this long non-coding RNA (735 nucleotides) under Homo sapiens (human). RNAcentral describes it as "non-protein coding lnc-TDRP-5:2". The record is from RNAcentral. Lineage: Eukaryota; Metazoa; Chordata; Mammalia; Primates; Hominidae.
CAGACGUGUAGACGGGCCAGGGGAGGCGUCCCACCAGACAGACGUGUAGACGGGCCAGGGGAGGCGUCUCACCAGACAGACGUGUAGACGGGCCAGGGGAGGCGUCUCACCAGACAGACGUGUAGACGGGCCAGGGGAGGCGUCUCACCAGACAGACGUGUAGACGGGCCAGGGGAGGCGUCUCACCAGACAGAGGUGUAGACGGGCCAGGGGAGGCGUCUCACCAGACAGAGGUGUAGAUGGGCCAGGGGAGGCGUCUCACCAGACAGAGGUGUAGACGGGCCAGGUUUCCACAGUCGUUCAUGCAGUGGUAUUUUGUGCUGAGCUCUGUUCUGAUUCUCUCUUCUGGUAGCUUCUCAUCUCCCAGAUAUGUCAUUCUGUGUGGAAGCGUAGGUUUGAGACCUUCCUUAAGAGAGGAAAGCUUAUCUUUAGUUUAUAGAAAUAAAAACAAAACUGUAUUUCCAAGCAAAACUGACUUUAUGUAGGUGUCUCCAGAGAUGCAGCUUCAGCUGCCCUCGCAGAUGCCGCUGAGGAGCUGCUGGACCGCCUUGCGUCACACAGCAUGCUGCCCUCAGACGUGUCCAUCCUGUACCACAUGAAAACGCUGCUGCUCCUGCAAGAUACUGAGAGAUUGAAGCAUGCUCUGGAAAUGUUCCCAGAACAUUGCACGAUGCCUCCUGACCAUGCCAGAGUAAUCUCAGCUUUCUUUAGUUACUGGAUCACACAUAUCCUUCC